RNAcentral lists this ribosomal RNA (253 nucleotides) under uncultured bacterium. RNAcentral's name for it is "partial 16S ribosomal RNA". It matches the Rfam family "Bacterial small subunit ribosomal RNA", at positions 524 to 776 of the family's 1533-position model. The record is from RNAcentral.
UACAGAGGUCUCGAGCGUUGUUCGGAUUCAUUGGGCGUAAAGGGCGCGUAGGCGGCGGGGUAAGUCUGGUGUGAAAUCUCGAAGCUCAACUCCGAAAUUGCACUGGAUACUGCUCUGCUAGAGGGCUGGAGAGGAGAUCGGAAUUCACGGUGUAGCAGUGAAAUGCGUAGAUAUCGUGAGGAAGACCAGUGGCGAAGGCGGAUCUCUGGACAGCUCCUGACGCUGAGGCGCGAAGGCUAGGGGAGCAAACGGG